CGAGUGGCGUCCAAAAUUUUCAACCAGCGGCCAGCAGCGCCAAAUUUUCAUCCCCAAAUUAAUAUCUCACCGCACUCUCUCAAAUCCGCCUCCACCUCUUUCAAACCAAAAAAAAAAACGCCCCCCUCUCCCAAAAUCUAGGGUUUCUCUCGCUCUCUUGAGCCCCCUUUUUCUGGCUGCUCUCGCUCUUCUACUUCCUCAAUCCCCUCAAUUUCUCAAGCGGACUCUGAUUCUUCUCUCGUCGACGGUGACCAGAUCCCUGAUUCGUCACCCUAGUUCGGUUUAAUUCGCUCUGCAAAUUAUUGUCAUUUGAAGAUGUUUUGGAGAAUCCCCAACUUCUCUGCUUCGUCUCCGAUUGAGUCCAUAUUGGACAAGGAAAACUUCACGCAGGAAGAACUUCUGGAUGAAGAAGAUAUGAUUCAACCUUAGAGACAGAGAGCUCAAGUAGAACAAUUGGUGCAAUAUAUUGCGGAAGAUGCUCCUGCAGAUGCUGAAAGCAAGCGAGCCUUCAAGUUCCCUUUCAUUGCUUGUGAAAUUUUCACUUGUGAGAUUGAUGUUAUUUUGAAGACAUUAGUAGAGGACGAAGAGGUAGCUGAUUGACAAAGUUCUGGAUCAGCAGACACAUCAUCAUCAGGAACAGAGAAUACUGCAGUCAUCGCCGCUGGUUUAGCUCUAAUAUCAGUUGCUGCAGUAUUGGCAAUUCUUCUACAAGUUGACAAAAAAACACCUCAAGUUCAGAGUACAGAGUACUCUGGACCUCCACUCAGUUACUAUAUCGGCGAGUUCAAGCCUACAAGUAUUGUAGAGGCUGCAGUUAUUUCUAAGCCUCAGAGCUCUCCAACUGUAGAGGCUUCUGCUCCUUCUGAACCCGAGAUUGCGUCGAAUGUGCAGUCUGAAGCUGAUGCAAGUGCAGCUCCUGAGGUCCAAGUUGAAUUGAAGGUGAAGGGUGAAAGUUCAAGUGUUGAAAAUGUUUCUUGAUUGGAUGGAUCAAGCCACUCCUAUAUUAUAUUUUGGAUGUAUGAGUCAUUUUGGAUAUUAGAAAAAUAUAUAUAAUAUUGGAUGUUUUU
This is a long non-coding RNA of Asparagus officinalis (garden asparagus), 1067 nucleotides long. RefSeq lists it as uncharacterized. Lineage: Eukaryota; Viridiplantae; Streptophyta; Magnoliopsida; Asparagales; Asparagaceae. The record is from RefSeq and is a predicted model, not a curated record. The transcript is spliced from 4 exons.